AACGAACGCUGGCGGCAGGCUUAACACAUGCAAGUCGAACGCAUGCCUUCGGGCAUGAGUGGCAGACGGGUGCGUAACGCGUGGGAACCUACCCCUUGGUACGGGAUAGCUCCGGGAAACUGGAGAUAAUACCGUAUGUGUCCUGAGGGACAAAGAUUCAUCGCCAAGGGAUGGGUCCGCGUCGGAUUAGCUAGUUGGUGGGGUAACGGCCUACCAAGGCGACGAUCCGUAGCUGGUCUAAGAGGAUGAUCAGCCACAUUGGGACUGAGACACGGCCCAAACUCCUACGGGAGGCAGCAGUGGGGAAUAUUGGACAAUGGGCGCAAGGCUGAGCCAGCCAUGCCGCGUGAGUGAUGAAGGCCCUAGGGUUGUAAAGCUCUUUCACCGGUGACGAUAAUGACGGUAACCGGAGAAGAAGCCCCGGCUAACUUCGUG
RNAcentral lists this ribosomal RNA (435 nucleotides) under uncultured bacterium. Its description in RNAcentral is "partial 16S ribosomal RNA". It matches the Rfam family "Bacterial small subunit ribosomal RNA", at positions 29 to 507 of the family's 1533-position model. The record is from RNAcentral.